AGAGUUUGAUCCUGGCUCAGAAUCAACGCUGGCGGCGUGCCUAACACAUGCAAGUCGAACGCGAAAGCUCCGCAAGGGGCAAGUAGAGUGGCGAACGGGUGAGUAACGCGUGGGUGACCUGCCUUCGAGCGGGGGAUAACGUUCCGAAAGGGACGCUAAUACCGCAUGACAUCCUGCCUUUGAAGAGGUGGACAUCAAAG
This 200-nucleotide ribosomal RNA is filed under the name uncultured bacterium. RNAcentral's name for it is "partial 16S ribosomal RNA". It matches the Rfam family "Bacterial small subunit ribosomal RNA", at positions 8 to 206 of the family's 1533-position model. The record is from RNAcentral.